This 496-nucleotide ribosomal RNA is filed under the name uncultured bacterium. Its description in RNAcentral is "partial 16S ribosomal RNA". It matches the Rfam family "Bacterial small subunit ribosomal RNA", at positions 28 to 507 of the family's 1533-position model. The record is from RNAcentral.
GAUGAACGCUGGCGGCGUGCCUAAUACAUGCAAGUCGAGCGAACAGACGAGGAGCUUGCUCCUCUGACGUUAGCGGCGGACGGGUGAGUAACACGUGGAUAACCUACCUAUAAGACUGGGAUAACUUCGGGAAACCGGAGCUAAUACCGGAUAACAUGUUGAACCGCAUGGUUCAACAGUGAAAGACGGUCUUGCUGUCACUUAUAGAUGGAUCCGCGCCGCAUUAGCUAGUUGGUAAGGUAACGGCUUACCAAGGCAACGAUGCGUAGCCGACCUGAGGGGGGGUAGGCCCACCGAGAACCUGACACGCGUCCCAGACCCCGAGGGGGGGCAGAGGUAGGUACUCUACCCAAGGGGGGGAAAGCUUGCGGGAUCAACGCCGGGGGGAUGAAGAAGGUCUGCGGUCGGUAAAACUCUUUUUUGGGGGAAAAAAAAUUUUAGAAGUAACGAAGCCCCUUUGGCGGGAACCGAAGCAAAAGGCCCGGCCAACUACCGG